GGUUAAGCGACUAAGCGUACACGGUGGAUGCCCUGGCAGUCAGAGGCGAUGAAGGACGUGCUAAUCUGCGAAAAGCGUCGGUAAGGUGAUAUGAACCGUUAUAACCGGCGAUGUCCGAAUGGGGAAACCCAGUGCAAUUCGUUGCACUAUCGUUAACUGAAUACAUAGGUUAACGAGGCGAACCGGGGGAACUGAAACAUCUAAGUACCCCGAGGAAAAGAAAUCAACCGAGAUUCCCCCAGUAGCGGCGAGCGAACGGGGAGCAGCCCAGAGUCUGAAUCAGCU
This 285-nucleotide ribosomal RNA is filed under the name Klebsiella pneumoniae. RNAcentral's name for it is "partial 23S ribosomal RNA". It matches the Rfam family "Bacterial large subunit ribosomal RNA", at positions 1 to 286 of the family's 2925-position model. Lineage: Bacteria; Pseudomonadati; Pseudomonadota; Gammaproteobacteria; Enterobacterales; Enterobacteriaceae. RNAcentral also lists the same sequence under 1 other name. The record is from RNAcentral.